UUGCCUUAAACUAAUGAGUAAGGAAAACAAAGCGAGUGGUGAGAGCUGCUCGCCGCGCAUACUCUAAAAUCGCGCAUUAAUUUUUGGAGGGGCAUAGGCUGGCCGUUGUGUUGACGCUGCUUACUUCGCAGAACUCGCACGUGCGGGCCUCCCCC
Small nuclear RNA from Argentina anserina (silverweed cinquefoil), 155 nucleotides. RefSeq annotates it as U12 minor spliceosomal RNA. The transcript has a single exon. Lineage: Eukaryota; Viridiplantae; Streptophyta; Magnoliopsida; Rosales; Rosaceae. The record is from RefSeq and is a predicted model, not a curated record.